GGCACGGUGGCACAGUGGUUAGCCUCACUGCAAGAAGGUUGCAGGUUCGAAUCCGGCCUGCGGCC
Gymnothorax javanicus (giant moray) is the source of this 65-nucleotide non-coding RNA. The record is from the annotation of a GenBank genome assembly. NCBI's taxonomy places the organism in Eukaryota, Metazoa, Chordata, Actinopteri, Anguilliformes, Muraenidae.